Oppia nitens is the source of this 279-nucleotide long non-coding RNA. RefSeq lists it as uncharacterized. Lineage: Eukaryota; Metazoa; Arthropoda; Arachnida; Sarcoptiformes; Oppiidae. The transcript is spliced from 3 exons. The record is from RefSeq and is a predicted model, not a curated record.
UAUUUUCGGCCGAAUUUCGGUGUAGGUGUGGCCACAAGUGGACAGUCAAUGAGCUGCACAUACAGGAGUCCCGCGAGUGUCCUGAAUGUCAUCAACAGGAGGACUGUUGGCCUAAGAAAGUGCAUUUGAUGAGUCCUAUUGAUACAAAUAAUUCAUUUACUCCGGUAACCGAUGAACGCUAUUUCGGUCAAUACCAGUGCUUCCGGUGUCUGAGGACAUGGUUUUCCGCUCAUUCGUGGCUCGGUUUUGGCCAACAGUGUAUCAAAUGUAAAAUAUCUA